Molecule: non-coding RNA, 141 nt
Filed under: Apocalathium aciculiferum
Lineage: Eukaryota; Dinophyceae; Thoracosphaerales; Thoracosphaeraceae
Source: RNAcentral
AAGCAAAGAGGAAAUGAGAAAAGAAAUGCUAUCUUAGAAGGAUUCCGCUUCGCUCCUUUUACUGUCUUUCUUAUUUCUUAUCUUUUACCUUAUAACCGUCAAGCAAUGUUCAGAAUGGAUUGUUAAAGGAAGUGAAAGUAA